UAUGAUACUAUGAAUUCUCCAUAAACACUACAACAGAAUUACUUAAUAGAAACAUAUUUUUAAAAUACUUUUGUGUAAAUAUCUCAUUUAUGCAAACUUUUUUUAAAAAAAUCUACUAAAAAUUAAAUAUAAAGCUCAAUCCAACUAAAAACAAAAAGUUUAUUUACUCAACCAAUCCUACCUAGUCCACUCAGUUCGAUUAUAAAUAAAAAAGAAAAAAAAAAUUGAUCACCAUCUCCCCUUCUUCUCCUCUACCGCCGCAGCCGACGAGAUACGGUUCCGACGAUUGGAAUUCGGCAGCGAAGAUUUCGCAGGAACCGUAGAGAAUUACGAUCGCCACAUGUCCCUAGCUCUGUCAUAGAUAGCUAGAAGAGUGAGUGCCGAAUAUCGAAGUGGCCCCACAUAUAGCGACCUUACAUAUAGCAACACUUUUAAAAAGUGUCAGUAAUUUAGUCAGCAGUAUUUUUUUUAUCUGUACCGAUAUUUAAAAGUGUCACUAUAUAUUAUUUUUGUUGCAGUCAAAAUAUAGUUUCUGUGUAACUAGUAUUAUUUAAAGAAAAUAAAUCAUACAA
This 572-nucleotide long non-coding RNA is filed under the name Ananas comosus (pineapple). Its description in RNAcentral is "long non-coding RNA (ACOM_LNC040454)". The record is from RNAcentral. Lineage: Eukaryota; Viridiplantae; Streptophyta; Magnoliopsida; Poales; Bromeliaceae.